Molecule: ribosomal RNA, 1488 nt
Filed under: Salmonella enterica subsp. enterica serovar Infantis
Lineage: Bacteria; Pseudomonadati; Pseudomonadota; Gammaproteobacteria; Enterobacterales; Enterobacteriaceae
Description: bacterial SSU rRNA
Rfam family: Bacterial small subunit ribosomal RNA
Source: RNAcentral
GCAGGCCUAACACAUGCAAGUCGAACGGUAACAGGAAGCAGCUUGCUGCUUUGCUGACGAGUGGCGGACGGGUGAGUAAUGUCUGGGAAACUGCCUGAUGGAGGGGGAUAACUACUGGAAACGGUGGCUAAUACCGCAUAACGUCGCAAGACCAAAGAGGGGGACCUUCGGGCCUCUUGCCAUCAGAUGUGCCCAGAUGGGAUUAGCUUGUUGGUGAGGUAACGGCUCACCAAGGCGACGAUCCCUAGCUGGUCUGAGAGGAUGACCAGCCACACUGGAACUGAGACACGGUCCAGACUCCUACGGGAGGCAGCAGUGGGGAAUAUUGCACAAUGGGCGCAAGCCUGAUGCAGCCAUGCCGCGUGUAUGAAGAAGGCCUUCGGGUUGUAAAGUACUUUCAGCGGGGAGGAAGGUGUUGUGGUUAAUAACCGCAGCAAUUGACGUUACCCGCAGAAGAAGCACCGGCUAACUCCGUGCCAGCAGCCGCGGUAAUACGGAGGGUGCAAGCGUUAAUCGGAAUUACUGGGCGUAAAGCGCACGCAGGCGGUCUGUCAAGUCGGAUGUGAAAUCCCCGGGCUCAACCUGGGAACUGCAUUCGAAACUGGCAGGCUUGAGUCUUGUAGAGGGGGGUAGAAUUCCAGGUGUAGCGGUGAAAUGCGUAGAGAUCUGGAGGAAUACCGGUGGCGAAGGCGGCCCCCUGGACAAAGACUGACGCUCAGGUGCGAAAGCGUGGGGAGCAAACAGGAUUAGAUACCCUGGUAGUCCACGCCGUAAACGAUGUCUACUUGGAGGUUGUGCCCUUGAGGCGUGGCUUCCGGAGCUAACGCGUUAAGUAGACCGCCUGGGGAGUACGGCCGCAAGGUUAAAACUCAAAUGAAUUGACGGGGGCCCGCACAAGCGGUGGAGCAUGUGGUUUAAUUCGAUGCAACGCGAAGAACCUUACCUGGUCUUGACAUCCACAGAAGAAUCCAGAGAUGGAUUUGUGCCUUCGGGAACUGUGAGACAGGUGCUGCAUGGCUGUCGUCAGCUCGUGUUGUGAAAUGUUGGGUUAAGUCCCGCAACGAGCGCAACCCUUAUCCUUUGUUGCCAGCGGUCCGGCCGGGAACUCAAAGGAGACUGCCAGUGAUAAACUGGAGGAAGGUGGGGAUGACGUCAAGUCAUCAUGGCCCUUACGACCAGGGCUACACACGUGCUACAAUGGCGCAUACAAAGAGAAGCGACCUCGCGAGAGCAAGCGGACCUCAUAAAGUGCGUCGUAGUCCGGAUUGGAGUCUGCAACUCGACUCCAUGAAGUCGGAAUCGCUAGUAAUCGUGGAUCAGAAUGCCACGGUGAAUACGUUCCCGGGCCUUGUACACACCGCCCGUCACACCAUGGGAGUGGGUUGCAAAAGAAGUAGGUAGCUUAACCUUCGGGAGGGCGCUUACCACUUUGUGAUUCAUGACUGGGGUGAAGUCGUAACAAGGUAACCGUAGGGGAACCUGCGGUUG